Podarcis lilfordi (Lilford's wall lizard) is the source of this 204-nucleotide non-coding RNA. The record is from the annotation of a GenBank genome assembly. Lineage: Eukaryota; Metazoa; Chordata; Lepidosauria; Squamata; Lacertidae.
GAUGAUUGAUCGUGCCCGCCAGCUGCCUAAUAUCAUAAUUAACAAAGUUGCUACCGUGUCUGAGAAGUUUAAUCGAAAAAAAUUGCCAGCAGUAUGAUGCCAUUGUCGCCCACAAAGAUCACAAGCGUGGCAGAGUCGACUUUUGGACUAAUGGAGCUGCAGAACUAUGUGGCUGGAAUGAGAAGCACUGCACCUGAAUGGCUA